AGUGAACGCUGGCGGUAGGCCUAACACAUGCAAGUCGAACGGCAGCACAGUAAGAGCUUGCUCUUACGGGUGGCGAGUGGCGGACGGGUGAGGAAUACAUCGGAAUCUACUUUUUCGUGGGGGAUAACGUAGGGAAACUUACGCUAAUACCGCAUACGACCUACGGGUGAAAGUAGGGGAUCUUCGGACCUUGCGCGAUUGAAUGAGCCGAUGUCGGAUUAGCUAGUUGGCGGGGUAAAGGCCCACCAAGGCGACGAUCCGUAGCUGGUCUGAGAGGAUGAUCAGCCACACUGGAACUGAGACACGGUCCAGACUCCUACGGGAGGCAGCAGUGGGGAAUAUUGGACAAUGGGCGCAAGCCUGAUCCAGCCAUACCGCGUGGGUGAAGAAGGCCUUCGGGUUGUAAAGCCCUUUUGUUGGGAAAGAAAAGCAGCAGGUUAAUACCCCGCUGUUCUGACGGUGCCCAAAGAAUAAGCACCGGCUAACUUCGUG
This 492-nucleotide ribosomal RNA is filed under the name uncultured bacterium. RNAcentral describes it as "partial 16S ribosomal RNA". It matches the Rfam family "Bacterial small subunit ribosomal RNA", at positions 29 to 507 of the family's 1533-position model. The record is from RNAcentral.